GGUAUGCCUAUGUCUAAUAGUAAACAAAAAACUUUUGUUUUGAAUUUUAUUUGGUUCAUCGCAGUCUCAAGCCUUGUUUAGUUCGCAAAAAUUUUCAAGAUUCUAUGUCACAUCGAAUCUUUGGUCGUAUGCAUGAAGCAUUAAAUAAAGACAAAAAUAAAAACUAAUUACACAGUUUACCUGAAAUUUGUGAGAUGAAUCUUUUAAGCCUAGUUACUUCGUGAUUGGACAAUGUUUGUCAAAUAAAAACGAAAGUGCUACAGUAGUCAAAAAAACCAAAAUUUUGCAAACUAAACAAGGCCUCACUAUCUGUGCGUCAGUCCACUCUCCAUAGUCCUGCUAGCUGGUCAAGUUUUCUGUCCAAGUCAAGUAUCGGGCUAGUGAUUCCCAAGUCGGCUCCACAACGUGACAAAUAAAGGUCAUCACGCAUGCAUGUGGGCCUUAGCAGGGAUUCGUCUCCUGCAGCUAUAUGGCAUUGAGUUUGUUUAAUUUGAUAUACUUAUAAGCUAUUCAUAUUAUGUCAAAAUAAGCUAUUCUACAUCAUCUUAUAUAUAAAAAAGGCCCAAAUAAAAAAAAAAGGUCAGAGUAUGGUUGGCCCCACCGUGUGG
RNAcentral lists this long non-coding RNA (608 nucleotides) under Sorghum bicolor (sorghum). Its description in RNAcentral is "long non-coding RNA (SBIC_LNC016848)". The record is from RNAcentral. Lineage: Eukaryota; Viridiplantae; Streptophyta; Magnoliopsida; Poales; Poaceae.